RNAcentral lists this ribosomal RNA (255 nucleotides) under uncultured bacterium. RNAcentral describes it as "partial 16S ribosomal RNA". It matches the Rfam family "Bacterial small subunit ribosomal RNA", at positions 524 to 776 of the family's 1533-position model. The record is from RNAcentral.
UACGUAGGGCGCAAGCGUUGUCCGGAAUUAUUGGGCGUAAAGAGCUCGUAGGCGGCCUGUUGCGUCCGCUGUGAAAUCCCGGGGCUCAACCCCGGGCCUGCAGUGGAUACGGGCUGGCUAGAGGCAGGCAGGGGGAGAACGGAAUUCCUGGUGUAGCGGUGAAAUGCGCAGAUAUCAGGAGGAACACCGGUGGCGAAGGCGGUUCUCUGGGCCUGUACUGACGCUGAGGAGCGAAAGCGUGGGGGAGCGAACAGG